AGGAACAAUUUGCUCAACUACCUCGUGCUCCAUGAGGCAACCAAUGACGACAACUCUGUUUUCACCCUGACACCAUGUGAAGGCUCCAGCUCCUCCACUGUCCUGCUCAAGGCACCUCAAGCAGUUAUGGUGCAUCAUCGCCACAGAUGAGGCUUUCGUCCGAAGCGACCGGGCGGCGAUGGCCUUGCUAUCGCGGAUGAAGCCAUCUGGGGGUACAUUGGUGUGCUGCUGUGGUGCCCACGUACCAGUACCAUACUGAUGACCUGUCUUUCGAGUUCAAUAUCCUGGAUGGCCUUGUCUUCAGCCAGGUAAACGAGAGGAAAGCUACAAUCAAGUUCCAGCUGAAUAAGGCCCUCUGCAUGGGUGUUGCUGUGAGCAAUCUGUUGAUGUGGGACAAGCAGAUCCAGCAGAACAUCGAGAUGAGGGUCAACUUCCGGUUUGUGUGCAUGGAGCUCUACCAACCCAUGCGUCUCCAGCUGAUGGCCGAGCCACUGAGCCUUCUUUGACCAGUGGUUGUUGGACAUGCUGGCUCGAGGGGUACACCUAGCAUCAGAAUGUUGUGGCGACCCUGAAGGGGAGCGGUGGAUUUGGCCCUGAUUCAGCAGGGGGGAUGGAGGCCUUGGCUGCUGGAUGGAACAUGCUUUUUUUAAACAUCGUCAGAUGUGACGAUGCUUCUCUGAUGUCGUUUGGCUAUCUGGCAUGGACCAUGAUGGCCAUGAAGUGAUCAAGAUCACAAGGCACAGAUGUAUGACGUAUUUGCUUUGAAUUCAUUAUAUAAUGUAAUUUGAAUGUGAAUUUGCUCCCAUUAUAGUGUCACUUGAGCGUGCAUGUAUCCAGAUGAGUUCUGUGCUCGAAAGCUAUGUUGGCAUAAUAUUGCAUGAUUAGAGUUUUGAGUCAGUUUGAUGUAAUCUGAUUUGCACUCGGUCAGGUGACCAUUUGAACCUUUUCCGGCUGAUGGGGUUGGCACAAAAGUACCAUGUACAUUAGAAAAUUUUAAAUUGGCAUGUUUCAUGGGAACUCUUUUAUGCUCAUGGUUUAUAGUGGUUGGAGAGAACAUUU
Molecule: long non-coding RNA, 1059 nt
Organism: Lolium rigidum
Lineage: Eukaryota; Viridiplantae; Streptophyta; Magnoliopsida; Poales; Poaceae
Exons: 4
Source: RefSeq, a predicted model, not a curated record